CAGUCGCCGCGGGAAUACGGAGGGUGCAAGCGUUAACCGGAAUUACUGGGCGUAAAGCGCACGCAGGCGGUCUGUCAAGUCAGAUGUGAAAUCCCCGGGCUUAACCUGGGAACUGCAUUUGAAACUGGCAGGCUAGAGUCUUGUAGAGGGGGGUAGAAUUCCAGGUGUAGCGGUGAAAUGCGUAGAGAUCUGGAGGAAUACCGGUGGCGAAGGCGGCCCCCUGGACAAAGACUGACGCUCAGGUGCGAAAGCGUGGGGAGCAAACAGGAUUAGAUACCCCUGUAGUCCCUGUCUCUUAUAC
RNAcentral lists this ribosomal RNA (301 nucleotides) under uncultured bacterium. RNAcentral's name for it is "partial 16S ribosomal RNA". It matches the Rfam family "Bacterial small subunit ribosomal RNA", at positions 509 to 807 of the family's 1533-position model. The record is from RNAcentral.